UUUUCCUGUCUGGUGGCGGGUGCAGGUCCCUGUCCAGCAGCCGUCGGCUCACCAGGCCCCUUGGGCUCCACAGGCAGCAGAAGGGCUACCCCUGGGGAGGCCCAGGCCCAGGGCUUCCCCCGCCCCCUGAACUAUACCCAUGGCUGCCACUUCAGCUGAUCUGCGGUGACAUGCCCACCACCACCUCAGACCUCUACAGCUUCUGCAUCCUGACCCAGGAGGUCUUCACUGAGAAACUGUACAUCAAGUGGCUCACAGAGCCAAGACCACACCCAGGCCUGUGGCCCCUGUGAUGUCCCCAGGCCCCAUCCCAUGCCAGGCCUGAGACUCCUGAGGUCAGAGACCACAGCAGGAUCCCAAGGGGUGCAGCCUGGAGCUUGGGCAGCAGCUUGACUCUAGGCAGCAGCCCUGGGUCUGGCCACAGCCCCACAGCCAGGGUCAGCCUGCACUGCUGCCUGGAGCCCAGCUCAACAGUACAGAUACCCCCAGAGCCCUGCACAACUGUCCCACUGCUAACCUGUGACCCCCUCCGCCCGCCCUCCAGGAGUCACCAACCCCAAGUUCCCUGGCUGCCUCUCCUUUGACCAGGGAACUUUAGGGUCGCCCAACUGUCCCCUCACUCACCUAUGACCCUUAACCAACCCUGCUUCCCCCAGGGCCCUUCCCUGCACUCCAACUCCAGCCUCUAGGACUCAGCCUCCCUGCUGGGGACCCAGAGCUCUGCGGAACAGUUUGAGGAAGCUCUCAGCCAAGAUUCCAGCCCUGCAGGGGCUGCUGCAGCGCACACACAGGGUUAUUCUGCUGAAGCCCCAGCCCUGCACCCGGUACUGAGCUCACUAGAGGAGGUCUCUUCUCCAGCCUGCAGAAGAUGGACCUGCUGGAGGAGAUCAUAGCAGAGCUACAAAAAGGAUGUCAGCUUGGAGAAAAGCCCAGCCUGAGCCCCGCUCCUGACCUAGACUCCCAGGGUGCCCAUGGUUCCCUCUCUGCAGAUACCACCUCUCAGAGGCUCCCAGGAGUAACUCCUGCCUUGGUGCCUCCCCAAAAGGAAAUAGAAUGAUAAAGUGC
This is a long non-coding RNA of Pan troglodytes (chimpanzee), 1065 nucleotides long. RefSeq lists it as uncharacterized. The transcript has 5 exons. NCBI's taxonomy places the organism in Eukaryota, Metazoa, Chordata, Mammalia, Primates, Hominidae. The record is from RefSeq and is a predicted model, not a curated record.